AUGCGUCUACUGAUGCGCCAUCUACUUCUGAUGUGUCAUCUUCCUCGUCUCAGCCUAGUUAUGGCUUACGUCCUCGUCCACUUCCGCUUGUUCAUUGCCUUGGUUUUCCAUGCGUUGGUGCUACUGUUUCUUGAGCUGACCUCUUAUCGUGAUGCUGUUGUUCAUCCCGAGUGGCAGCUUGCGAUGGAAGAGGAGAUUGCUGCUCUUGAGCACAUUGACACGUGGGAUCUUAUUUAUCUUCCUCCCGUGUUCGUCCCAACACUUGUAAGUGGGUCUACAAGGUUAAGACUUGCUCCGAUGGUUCUCUUGAGCACUACAAAGCUCGUCUUGUGCCUCGUGUCUUUCAGCAGGAGCAUGGUCAUGGUUACGAUGGAACUUUUCUCACGUGGCCCUAUGACCAUUGUUCGCACACUUGUUGUGGACUCUGUCCGCCAUUGUUUUGUAUCUCAGCUUGAUGGUAAGAACGCCUUUCUUAAUGUGAGUUGCGUGAGGAGGUUUACAUGCAUCUACCACCUGGGUAUUCUAUUUCAGAUGGCAUGGUCUGUCAUCUUCGUCGCUCUAUCUAUGGCCUUAAGAAAGCUCGUCGUGCUUGGUUUGAGUGUUUUGCCUAUGUGGUGA
Molecule: ribosomal RNA, 618 nt
Filed under: Triticum aestivum (bread wheat)
Lineage: Eukaryota; Viridiplantae; Streptophyta; Magnoliopsida; Poales; Poaceae
Description: partial small subunit ribosomal RNA
Source: RNAcentral